Molecule: ribosomal RNA, 261 nt
Filed under: uncultured Bradyrhizobiaceae bacterium
Lineage: Bacteria; Pseudomonadati; Pseudomonadota; Alphaproteobacteria; Hyphomicrobiales; Nitrobacteraceae
Description: partial 16S ribosomal RNA
Rfam family: Bacterial small subunit ribosomal RNA
Source: RNAcentral
UAAGGAAUAUUGGACAAUGGGGGAAAGCCCUGAUCCAGCCAUGCCGCGUGAGUGAUGAAGGCCCUAGGGUUGUAAAGCUCUUUUGUGCGGGAAGAUAAUGACGGUACCGCAAGAAUAAGCCCCGGCUAACUUCGUGCCAGCAGCCGCGAUAAUACGAAGGGGGCUAGCGUUGCUGCGGAAUCACUGGGCGUAAAGGGUGCGUAGGCGGGUCUUUAAGCCAGAGGUGAAAUCCUGGAGCUCAACUCCAGAACUGCCUUUGAU